GAUUGCCCUAGUAACGGCGAGUGAAGCGGCAACAGCUCAAAUUUGAAAUCUGGCGCAAGCCCGAGUUGUAAUUUGUAGAGGAUGCUUCUGGGUAGCGACCGAUCUAAGUUCCUUGGAACAGGACGUCAUAGAGGGUGAGAAUCCCGUAUGUGACCGGCCCGCACCCUUUACGUAGCUCCUUCGACGAGUCGAGUUGUUUGGGAAUGCAGCUCUAAAUGGGAGGUAAAUUUCUUCUAAAGCUAAAUACCGGCCAGAGACCGAUAGCGCACAAGUAGAGUGAUCGAAAGAUGAAAAGUACUUUGGAAAGAGAGUUAAAAAGCACGUGAAAUUGUUGAAAGGGAAGCGCCUGCAACCAGACUUCGCGGCAGUGUUCCGCCGGUCUUCUGACCGGUUCAUUCUCUGUCGCGAGGCCAUCAUCGUCUGGGCCCGCCGGAUAAGACCUUAGGAAUGUAGCUCACCUUCGGGGGAGUGUUAUAGCCUAGGGUGAUGCGGCGAGGCUCGGGCGAGGUCCGCGCUUCGGCAAGGAUGAUGGCGUAAUGGUUGUCGGCGGCCCGUCUUGAAACACGGACCAAGGAGUCUAACAUCUAUGCGAGUGUUCGGGUGUCAAACCCCUACGCGUAAUGAAAGUGAACGGAGGUGGGAACCGCAAGGUGCACCAUCGACCGAUCCUGAUGUCCUCGGAUGGAUUUGAGUAAGAGCAUAGCUGUUGGGACCCGAAAGAUGGUGAACUAUGCCUGAAUAGGGUGAAGCCAGAGGAAACUCUGGUGGAGGCUCGCAGCGGUUCUGACGUGCAAAUCGAUCGUCAAAUUUGGGUAUAGGGGCGAAAGACUAAUC
This 834-nucleotide ribosomal RNA is filed under the name Septoria matricariae. Its description in RNAcentral is "partial large subunit ribosomal RNA". It matches the Rfam family "Eukaryotic large subunit ribosomal RNA", at positions 73 to 936 of the family's 3401-position model. Lineage: Eukaryota; Fungi; Ascomycota; Dothideomycetes; Mycosphaerellales; Mycosphaerellaceae. The record is from RNAcentral.